This 254-nucleotide ribosomal RNA is filed under the name uncultured bacterium. RNAcentral's name for it is "partial 16S ribosomal RNA". It matches the Rfam family "Bacterial small subunit ribosomal RNA", at positions 524 to 776 of the family's 1533-position model. The record is from RNAcentral.
CACGUAGGGGGCAAGCGUUGUCCGGAUUUAUUGGGCGUAAAGAGCUCGUAGGCGGCUUAGUAAGUCGGGUGUGAAACCUCCAGGCUCAACCUGGAGACGCCACCCGAUACUGCUGUGGCUAGAGUCCGGUAGGGGAGAGUGGAAUUCCUGGUGUAGCGGUGAAAUGCGCAGAUGUCAGGAAGAACACCCGUGGCGAAGGCGGCUCUCUGGGACGGUACUGACGCUGAGACGCGAAAGCGUGGGGAGCGAACAGG